This is a long non-coding RNA of Equus caballus (horse), 1599 nucleotides long. Lineage: Eukaryota; Metazoa; Chordata; Mammalia; Perissodactyla; Equidae. The record is from Ensembl.
CUGUGAUUGGCCCACCCUGGAUGGUGCCCAUCUGCAGAGACAGAUGGGGUCAGUCACACAGAAAGCUGAUGGCCUGAGAGUUGGGGCGAGGAGACCCAGGAGCCAUCAGAAAAGGGGACGGAAGCAGGGGGGUGAGCAUGGCAGCAGCCUGCAGGAUGGCUUCCCAUGGCCGCUGUGGGGUGGGAACUGGAGCAGUGUUUUCCCUCCCAUGUGUCGGGUCUCCAGACCCUGCACCCAGCGGUGCCACUCGACGCUUCCCCUGGGCCCCAAAGUGUCGCCCUGGGCAGGCCCGUCAGGGAAGGUGCUUGCCGAGGGCGAGGCCCAGGGCAGGCAACCCCAUCAGGAUUCAGGCUGUGGGGCAGAAAGGGACAGGCCACCUUCCAAGGUGGCAGCCAGGCCAAGCCAGCAGGCCCGGGCCUGGGAGGGGCCUUGGGGCCAGAACCGGAAUUGGGCCAAAGCAGCAGCAAGCCCCGCAGGGCCAUCCCGCCGUGGCUCAGCAAGGCGCCCGGCACCGGAGCUGCGGGGCUGCACCUGAAGGCGGGGGCUGAGCCAGAGGUCAGCGGGUGGACGCGGGCCAGGGGGGCUGGGAACGUGUCUGAGUGUGUGAGUGAGAGGUGGCGUGCGUGUGUGGGCCAGUGUGAGGGCACACGUGUGCACACGUGCUGUGACCGCAGUCGGGACCAGGGUAGACGCAGGUUCUCAUGUGGGGUCUGAGGGGGCCCGACUUUGGACACUGAGGAUGGGGCGGGGCUGAGAGGCUGCAGACGGGCCGCCCAGUGCUGGGCUCCUGCGGAGUGCAGGGCGGGCACUGGAGCUGCGGAGCCGGUUCAGGGCCCCAGGAGGACAGGCAGCUCAGGACGACAGUGACAGCUGCUGCUUCCACUGGCCGGGGGUGGCCGUCAGUGCCUCUCACCCCACAAGCAACAGACAGCCCACACAUCGCAGUUCAGACGCAGGGCAGCACGUGACACAGCCAAGCUGGUUUGAGAGCAGGGCCGUCCUGACUCUUAGAGGACACAGGACAUCGGCUCCGGGGCCGUCCAUUGGGAAAGGAUGUACCUGGAGCCAGGGCAGGACAAGGUCAGGACAAGGCCCCAUGGCGGGGCAGGGUAGGGGCCCGACUCCACGGAGCUCUGUGGCCUGGGUCUCACGUUCGAGAAGAGCCUCCAAGUUCGGACUUCGGGCAUCUCUUCCGAUGAGGCAACACCUCCAGUCGCCGUAACUCAGCCGUGGGCUUGGAGAAGAUGACUUGGCUCCACCUUCUGGCUGGACAGAGCUGCCUUCCCAAUCUGCUGCCUCCUCCUUUGAGCACCUACUAUGCGCCAGGUGCUUUGUAUGUGCCGCCUCUUAACCCACACCACCACCCUCCACAGAAGAGAACAGUCUCCAUUUUGCAAGUGAAAAAAACUAAAGUUCAGAGAGGUUAGGAUGCAGCCUUGGUGCCCAAAGAUGGAGCUGCCUGCUUAUGACCAUGGGGAUUAAAGACACAGCUGGCGACGGUGCCAUCGGGAAGCUGGGAGGAGCCUGGUUCCUGACGGCUCCUUGAAGCCCUGGUACCAGCCUGGCAGCUGCCAACCUUGAGAGUCCUCGUGACAGGAG